CGGUAACAAACACAUACACCUCAUAUAACCACGGGAAUAUGGCCCGUAAGUCUCUACCCAAUCACCGUAAACGAUUGGACUAUGAGGGAAGUUACACUAUGG
Molecule: non-coding RNA, 102 nt
Filed under: Pontibacillus halophilus
Lineage: Bacteria; Bacillati; Bacillota; Bacilli; Caryophanales; Bacillaceae
Also listed under: 1 other name
Description: Guanine sequence
Rfam family: Purine riboswitch aptamer
About the family: Riboswitches are metabolite binding domains within certain messenger RNAs that serve as precision sensors for their corresponding targets. Allosteric rearrangement of mRNA structure is mediated by ligand binding, and this results in modulation of gene expression. A class of riboswitches that selectively recognises guanine and becomes saturated at concentrations as low as 5 nM.
Source: RNAcentral